AUCGCUUCUCGGCCUUUUGGCUAAGAUCAAGUGUAAUGUUCUUCAAGGUGUAUUUUUAAAAUAGAAGAUUUUAUUAUUCAUAAAACUAAUGUAUACAGCCAGCUGUUUAUAUCCAAGAAUUUAACCAGCUGUGAAUCAAGAACACUGAAGGGAAAAAACUUGUGUCUGUACUGCACAUGUCCAGACAUUUUCUUU
Molecule: small nuclear RNA, 195 nt
Organism: Ochotona princeps (American pika)
Lineage: Eukaryota; Metazoa; Chordata; Mammalia; Lagomorpha; Ochotonidae
Product: U2 spliceosomal RNA
Exons: 1
Source: RefSeq, a predicted model, not a curated record